This 300-nucleotide long non-coding RNA is filed under the name Elaeis guineensis (African oil palm). Its description in RNAcentral is "long non-coding RNA (EGUI_LNC067155)". The record is from RNAcentral. Lineage: Eukaryota; Viridiplantae; Streptophyta; Magnoliopsida; Arecales; Arecaceae.
AGAUUCAUGCUGAUGACACAAGAUGAGCUCCGAAUCAUCAUGCCAUUAAGAAGAAAAGAUUGAUCUGAUAAAAUCUCCUAGAAUCUUAGAUGAUUCCCUUCAAUCUCGGGCAUAUUAGCUAAAAUCACAUAUCUAACAUCCACAAAUGAUGUCUGUAACCAAUAACCCAUGAUUCCCGAGUUAGUGGAUAUGGAUUCAUCACCUCUGUUAUCGAAUUUAGAGGUAAUGCAUGACUACUCUCCUCUAUAUAAAGGGGGACAAAGGGGAUCCUCAGGAAAGUUAUGGUGGAAGAAAACAAGA